UAGAUAACCAACUUCAGAUUAAGCAGUUUGUUAAUCUUAUACAUCCGUAGUAAAUUAAUACAUGUAUAGAAUUAAAGAGGAAAAGGACAAGAAAAGAUAGGUGGCAUGCUAAAAAGGUUCUUUUUUCUUGGAAGAUAGAACAUACAGAAGUUAAUAGUUAUUUGCAUGCUGCUAUUAUUCAACUAGAGUGCAGUUUUCCAAAGCCCCUUUCAUGCACCUUGACUUAAUUGAUUGGCUUUUUAGACCUUCAAUGGAGGAAAAGGCAUUUGAAAAUGGAGUAGUGUGUCCUGUGCCAACACAAGCCUUUCUUCCUUUCAAACAAGGGAAAAGGAACAUGAAAGAAGAAAAAAAUUAACAGAAAUUAUUAGGCAAGACUAUAUUAUCCUCCCGUCCCUUCAGGAAUCGAACCCACCUAUGAUUAGCUACUUAAAAAGAAAAAAAAA
RNAcentral lists this unclassified non-coding RNA (443 nucleotides) under Hevea brasiliensis (rubber tree). Lineage: Eukaryota; Viridiplantae; Streptophyta; Magnoliopsida; Malpighiales; Euphorbiaceae. The record is from RNAcentral.